GACGAACGCUGGCGGCGUGCUUAACACAUGCAAGUCGAACGGUAAGGCCCUGCUUUUGUGGGGUGCUCGAGUGGCGAACGGGUGAGUAACACGUGAGUAACCUGCCCUUGACUUUGGGAUAACUUCAGGAAACUGGGGCUAAUACCGGAUAGGAGCUCCUGCUGCAUGGUGGGGGUUGGAAAGUUUCGGCGGUUGGGGAUGGACUCGCGGCUUAUCAGCUUGUUGGUGGGGUAGUGGCUUACCAAGGCUUUGACGGGUAGCCGGCCUGAGAGGGUGACCGGCCACAGUGGGACUGAGAGACGGCCGAGACUCCUACGGGAGGCAGCAGUGGGGAAUAUUGCAGAAUGGGCGGAAGCCUGAUGCAGCAACGCCGCGUGCGGGAUGACGGCCUUCGGGUUGUAAACCGCUUUCGCCUGUGACGAAGCGUGAGUGACGGUAAUGGGUAAAGAAGCACCGGCUAACUACGUG
RNAcentral lists this ribosomal RNA (468 nucleotides) under uncultured bacterium. Its description in RNAcentral is "partial 16S ribosomal RNA". It matches the Rfam family "Bacterial small subunit ribosomal RNA", at positions 28 to 507 of the family's 1533-position model. The record is from RNAcentral.